UCGGGAGGUCGGGCAAUCGCUCCUUGGUGGAGUCUCGCGUGCGGGAUUUGCCAGGGGGAGGAAAGUCCGGGCUCCUACGAGCAUGAUGGUCGAUAACGUCGACGGGUAGAAAUACCGGGGGAAUGCAACAGAAAGAUACCGCCGGGCCGCAAGGUUUCGGUAAGGGUGAAAUGGUGGGGUAAGAGCCCACCAGAAGGCGGGCGACCGUCCUUCUCGGCAGCCCCAUCUGGAGCAAGAUCCAACAGGGUGAGGCCCUCAGUCCUUGGGGGCCGUGUCUGACUCGUGAUGCGAACACCCGGGUAGAUCGCUCGAGCCGCCGAGCAAUUGGCGGCCAAGAUGAAUGAUUGCCCAUGGCGAUAACAUUGCCAAGACAGAACCCGGCUUACAGACCUCCCGACUUU
RNAcentral lists this RNase P RNA (401 nucleotides) under Planctomycetota bacterium. RNAcentral describes it as "Planctomycetes bacterium (mine drainage metagenome) RNase P RNA component class A". It matches the Rfam family "Bacterial RNase P class A". Rfam says of the family: Ribonuclease P (RNase P) is a ubiquitous endoribonuclease, found in archaea, bacteria and eukarya as well as chloroplasts and mitochondria. Its best characterised activity is the generation of mature 5'-ends of tRNAs by cleaving the 5'-leader elements of precursor-tRNAs. Cellular RNase Ps are ribonucleoproteins. The record is from RNAcentral. Lineage: Bacteria; Pseudomonadati; Planctomycetota.